ACACUGACGUCGCGACGCAUAUCAAUAAGCGGAGGAAAAGAGACUAACUAGGAUUCCCUCAGUAACGGCGAGUGAAGCGGGAAGAGCUCAAAUUUGAAAUCUUAAAGGUUCUACCUUGACGAAUUGUAGUUUAAAGAAGUGUUUUCUGUUGAGGUUUUGGUAAAAGUUCUUUGGAAUAGGACAUCAUAGAGGGUGAGAAUCCCGUAUUUGACCAUUACUUUCAACUUUGUGAUACACUUUCAAAGAGUCGGAUUGUUUGGGAAUGCAGUCCAAAAUGGGUGGUAAAUUUCAUCUAAAGCUAAAUAUUGGCGAGAGACCGAUAGCGAACAAGUACCGUGAGGGAAAGACGAAAAGAACUUUGAAAAGAGAGUUAAACAGUACGUGAAAUUGUCAAAAGGGAAGCGUUUGACACCAGUGUUGUUUUUCUGAAAAUCAAUUAAAGAACUGUUUAUGCUAAGUUGUUUAGACUUUAUCAGCUAACUGUUUAGUUUUGAGCUUUUCUUUAAUGCACUUUUCAGUUAACAAGUCAACAUCAAUUUCUUUUGCUGUAAAAAAGCUUGAGGAAGGUGGCUUGAGAUUCGUCUUAAGUGUUUAUAGCCUCUUGCCUAUGCAGUCGGAGAGAUUGAGAUCUGCAGCGUAGAUCCUUCGGGGCUAAAUGCAUUUGUGCUAAGUUAUAGCAUUUUAUAGACAACUUGUUGACUAUGAUUUGUCUUGUAGCUUACUCGCUUAUGUUAUUUUACCUACGCUUAGGAUGUUGAGUAGCGACUACGCAC
RNAcentral lists this ribosomal RNA (773 nucleotides) under uncultured Neocallimastigales. Its description in RNAcentral is "partial large subunit ribosomal RNA". It matches the Rfam family "Eukaryotic large subunit ribosomal RNA", at positions 25 to 614 of the family's 3401-position model. Lineage: Eukaryota; Fungi; Neocallimastigomycota; Neocallimastigomycetes; Neocallimastigales. The record is from RNAcentral.